GAUGAACGCUGGCGGCGUGCCUAAUACAUGCAAGUCGAGCGAACAGACGAGGAGCUUGCUCCUCUGACGUUAGCGGCGGACGGGUGAGUAACACGUGUAUAACCUACCUAUAAGACUGGGAUAACUUCGGGAACCCGGAGCUAAUACCGGAUAAUAUAUUGAACCGCAUGGUUCAAUAGUGAAAGACGGUUUUGCUGUCCCUUAUAGAUGGAUCCGCGCCGCAUUAGCUAGUUGGUAAGGUAACGGCUUACCAAGGCAACGAUGCGUAGCCGACCUGAGAGGGUGAUCGGCCACACUGGAACUGAGACACGGUCCAGACUCCUACGGGAGGCAGCAGUAGGGAAUCUUCCGCAAUGGGCGAAAGCCUGACGGAGCAACGCCGCGUGAGUGAUGAAGGUCUUCGGAUCGUAAAACUCUGUUAUUAGGGAAGAACAAAUGUGUAAGUAACUAUGCACGUCUUGACGGUACCUAAUCAGAAAGCCACGGCUAACUACGUG
RNAcentral lists this ribosomal RNA (497 nucleotides) under uncultured bacterium. RNAcentral's name for it is "partial 16S ribosomal RNA". It matches the Rfam family "Bacterial small subunit ribosomal RNA", at positions 28 to 507 of the family's 1533-position model. The record is from RNAcentral.